RNAcentral lists this ribosomal RNA (253 nucleotides) under uncultured bacterium. RNAcentral describes it as "partial 16S ribosomal RNA". It matches the Rfam family "Bacterial small subunit ribosomal RNA", at positions 524 to 776 of the family's 1533-position model. The record is from RNAcentral.
UACAGAGGCGGCAAGCGUUAUUCGGAAUCAUUGGGCUUAAAGCGCGUGUAGGCGGCUUGGUAAGCGUCCCGUGAAAUCUCACUGCUCAACGGUGAAACUGCGGGGCGAACUGCCUGGCUUGAGGUUGGUAGAGGUGCCUGGAACUCUAGGUGGAGCGGUGAAAUGCGUAGAUAUCUAGAGGAACACCAGAGGCGAAAGCGGGGCUCUGGGCCAAUACUGACGCUGAGACGCGAAAGCGUGGGGAGCAAACAGG